UUAGCUGGGGGUGCCUCCGUUUUCGGGAGCUGAGAGGAUUUUUUCCAACCCUUUGAACUUGAUGUGGUUAGUACCAACGCAGGGAAGCAAU
This 91-nucleotide non-coding RNA is filed under the name chicken gut metagenome. The record is from RNAcentral.